RNAcentral lists this ribosomal RNA (215 nucleotides) under uncultured bacterium. RNAcentral's name for it is "partial 16S ribosomal RNA". It matches the Rfam family "Bacterial small subunit ribosomal RNA", at positions 524 to 738 of the family's 1533-position model. The record is from RNAcentral.
UACGUAGGGUGCAAGCGUUAAUCGGAAUUACUGGGCGUAAAGCGUGCGCAGGCGGUUUUGUAAGUCUGAUGUGAAAUCCCCGGGCUCAACCUGGGAAUUGCAUUGGAGACUGCAAGGCUAGAAUCUGGCAGAGGGGGGUAGAAUUCCACGUGUAGCAGUGAAAUGCGUAGAGAUGUGGAGGAACACCGAUGGCGAAGGCAGCCCCCUGGGUCAAG